RNAcentral lists this ribosomal RNA (159 nucleotides) under Melampodium americanum. RNAcentral describes it as "5.8S ribosomal RNA". It matches the Rfam family "5.8S ribosomal RNA". Rfam says of the family: 5.8S ribosomal RNA (5.8S rRNA) is a component of the large subunit of the eukaryotic ribosome. The record is from RNAcentral. Lineage: Eukaryota; Viridiplantae; Streptophyta; Magnoliopsida; Asterales; Asteraceae.
CGACUCUCGGCAACGGAUAUCUCGGCUCACGCAUCGAUGAAGAACGUAGCAAAAUGCGAUACUUGGUGUGAAUUGCAGAAUCCCGUGAACCAUCGAGUUUUCGAACGCAAGUUGCGCCCGAAGCCUUCUGGUUGAGGGCACGUCUGCCUGGGCGUCACG